RNAcentral lists this ribosomal RNA (461 nucleotides) under uncultured bacterium. RNAcentral's name for it is "SSU rRNA". It matches the Rfam family "Bacterial small subunit ribosomal RNA", at positions 26 to 518 of the family's 1533-position model. The record is from RNAcentral.
AGAAUCAACGCUGGCGGCGUGCCUAACACAUGCAAGUCGAACGAGAAAGUGGAGCAAUCCAUGAGUAAAGUGGCGACCGGGUGAGUAACACGUGACUAACCUACCUUCGAGUGGGGGAUAACAUCGGGAAACCGAUGCUAAUACCGCAUAACAUCGCAAGAUCAAAGCAGCAAUGCGCUGGAAGAGGGGGUCGCGGCUGAUUAGCUAGUUGGCGGGGUAACGCCCACCAAGGCGAAGAUCGGUAGCCGGCCUGAGAGGGCGCACGGCCACACUGGAACUGAAACACGGUCCAGACUCCUACGGGAGGCAGCAGUGGGGAAUUUUGCGCAAUGGGGGAAACCCUGACGCAGCAACGCCGCGUGGAGGAUGAAGCCCCUUGGGGUGUAAACUCCUUUCGACCAAGACCGAUAAUGACGGUACUGGUGGAAGAAGGCACCGGCUAACUCUGCGCCAGCAGCCGC